AUUGAACGCUGGCGGCAGGCCUAACACAUGCAAGUCGAGCGGAUGACGGGAGCUUGCUCCUUGAUUCAGCGGCGGACGGGUGAGUAAUGCCUAGGAAUCUGCCUGGUAGUGGGGGACAACGUUUCGAAAGGAACGCUAAUACCGCAUACGUCCUACGGGAGAAAGCAGGGGACCUUCGGGCCUUGCGCUACCAGAUGAGCCUAGGUCGGAUUAGCUAGUUGGUGGGGUAAUGGCUCACCAAGGCGACGAUCCGUAUCUGGUCUGAGAGGAUGAUCAGUCACACUGGAACUGAGACACGGUCCAGACUCCUACGGGAGGCAGCAGUGGGGAAUAUUGGACAAUGGGCGAAAGCCUGACCCAGCCAUGCCGCGUGUGUGAAGAAGGUCUUCGGAUUGUAAAGCACUUUAAGUUGGGAGGAAGGGCAGUAAGUUAAUACCUUGCUGUUUUGACGUUACCGACAGAAUAAGCACCGGCUAACUUUGUGCCAGCCGCCGCAGUAA
Molecule: ribosomal RNA, 500 nt
Filed under: uncultured bacterium
Lineage: Bacteria
Description: partial 16S ribosomal RNA
Rfam family: Bacterial small subunit ribosomal RNA
Source: RNAcentral